RNAcentral lists this ribosomal RNA (253 nucleotides) under uncultured bacterium. Its description in RNAcentral is "partial 16S ribosomal RNA". It matches the Rfam family "Bacterial small subunit ribosomal RNA", at positions 524 to 776 of the family's 1533-position model. The record is from RNAcentral.
UACGGAGGGUGCAAGCAUUAAUCGGAUUUAUUGGGCGUAAAGGGCGCGUAGGUGGGAAAGAAAGUUAGAUGUGAAAUCCCGGAGCUCAACUCCGGAACUGCAUCUAAAACUCCUUUUCUUGAGGGUAGGCGGAGAAAAUAGAAUUCCACAAGUAGCGGUGAAAUGCGUAGAUAUGUGGAAGAAUACCGGUGGCGAAGGCGAUUUUCUAGCUUAUUCCUGACACUGAGGCGCGAAAGCAAGGGGAUCAAACAGG